Molecule: ribosomal RNA, 253 nt
Filed under: uncultured bacterium
Lineage: Bacteria
Description: partial 16S ribosomal RNA
Rfam family: Bacterial small subunit ribosomal RNA
Source: RNAcentral
UACGUAGGGGGCAAGCGUUGUCCGGAAUCACUGGGCGUAAAGGGCGCGUAGGCGGCCCGGUAAGUAGGGGGUGAAAUCCUGCGGCUUAACCGCAGGGCUGCCUUCUAAACUGUCGGGCUCGAGCACGGUAGAGGCAGAUGGAAUUCCCGGUGUAGCGGUGGAAUGCGUAGAGAUCGGGAAGAACAUCAGUGGCGAAGGCGGUCUGCUGGGCCGUUGCUGACGCUGAGGCGCGACAGCGUGGGGAGCAAACAGG